Molecule: long non-coding RNA, 1059 nt
Filed under: Numida meleagris (helmeted guineafowl)
Lineage: Eukaryota; Metazoa; Chordata; Aves; Galliformes; Numididae
Description: lncRNA (ENSNMEG00000009488.1)
Source: RNAcentral
CUUAAUGCAGGAUGAAAAAGCAAAUUGUUGGCAGGAGAGCAGAGAUGCUGCUCCGUUGCUAUGGUUACAAGCGAGCAUCUCUGGGUAUCGCCCUGUGGUACCCGAGCUGCUCCCGGCUGCCUGCGCCGGUGAAGGGGCAGUUUGGCAUCCCUUACCAGCCCACUGGGGAUCACUGCGGGAUGGCCGACAUCCCUGCCUGCUCCUACCCUGACGAUGAGGAUUACCAGAGCAGAAAUAAAGCAAGGACCGAACAUCCUGGGAUAAUUCCCUGCGGUGCCAGCCUCAGCUCAGCUCCCUGGGGAUUUCUGCCGCCAGCAGCCUCCAAGGGAGGAAUUACCGAGGCAGCGCAAACCGUCCCCUGGGGAGCUGCCGGCUCCUGAGUCAUUAAAUGCUUCCACAACCAAAGCAAUGGGUUUGUUGGCUGCAGAACGAGCCAAUGCUGUGUGAGAGCAGGAGAUGGAGCAAGGUGCUCGUCCCCGGCAGGGCCCUGCAGGGCCUCCCCAUGCCCUCCCUGGGGCAUUUUGCACCCAAGCCGCAGCCCGCGUUGUGUGGAGGUUUCCCAUUACCUUCCCCAACCACUCUUGCUCUGCUCCUCAGCGAGAGAAAAGAUUCCAGAAAAGCAUCUGGUGCAGAUUUAAAGGCAUUAAGAGACAGAGAUUGGUGGCUUGUUCUAAUAGCUAAUCAUUAUUAAAAGAUCGCUCCUUGUUUCUAAGACAGAUUUGUCUGGCUUCAGCUUCCAGGAAGAGCCUGUUAUUAUGCCUUUCCCCGGUAGAUUAAGUUACCUCCUUGGACUCGUGUUUUCUCCCCAAGACAAAUGCUGUAAUCAAGUCACCUCUCAGUCUCCCCCUGAUAAAUUAAACGUGCGGCGCUCCCAUCUCACGCCCAGCGCCAGCCCUACCUGUGCUGAUUGCAGUGAGCGGCUGGCAGUGAUUUUUCUACAUUAUGAGCAAACAUCUCUCUGUGAGGGAAGGGAUGGGGCUGCCCAUCCCAGCAGUGGCUGGGAGUCGGUGGCCACUGGUUGUCCAUCCUGCAUUGUGUGACCAGUUGGAAAAAUCAGGA